GCAGGGCUGAAGACUGCGGUUUUUUUUAAUCAGUGGUUUACAUAGCCAGACACCAGGCAGAAAAGAAAAGAGUGGUCUUCCCUUUAAAGUGGUUAUAAUCAUGUGCUAAGUUUCCCCCCCCCCCAUAACAUAUCAUUAUUCAAGGGAAAUACAAAG
Small nucleolar RNA from Bos taurus (domestic cattle), 156 nucleotides. Ensembl annotates it as Small nucleolar RNA SNORA15. Lineage: Eukaryota; Metazoa; Chordata; Mammalia; Artiodactyla; Bovidae. The record is from Ensembl.